GUGGGGAAUAUUGGACAAUGGGCGCAAGCCUGAUCCAGCCAUGCCGCGUGUGUGAAGAAGGCCUUCGGGUUGUAAAGCACUUUUGUCCGGGAAGAAAUCUUCCAGGUUAAUACCCUGGGAGGCUGACGGUACCGGAAGAAUAAGCACCGGCUAACUUCGUGCCAGCAGCCGCGGUAAUACGAAGGGUGCAAGCGUUACUCGGAAUUACUGGGCGUAAAGCGUGCGUAGGUGGUUCGUUAAGUCUGCCGUGAAAGCCCCGGGCUCAACCUGGGAGUGGCGGUGGAUACUGGCGGGCUAGAGUGCGGUAGAGGGUGGUGGAAUGCCCGGUGUAGCAGUGAAAUGCGUAAAGAUCGGGAGGAACAUCUGUGGCGAAGGCGGCCACCUGGACCAGCACUGACACUGAGGCACGAAAGCGUGGGGAGCAAACAGGAUUAGAAACCCGUGUAGUCC
RNAcentral lists this ribosomal RNA (450 nucleotides) under uncultured bacterium. RNAcentral's name for it is "partial 16S ribosomal RNA". It matches the Rfam family "Bacterial small subunit ribosomal RNA", at positions 354 to 796 of the family's 1533-position model. The record is from RNAcentral.